Onychomys torridus (southern grasshopper mouse) is the source of this 160-nucleotide small nuclear RNA. RefSeq annotates it as U1 spliceosomal RNA. The record is from RefSeq and is a predicted model, not a curated record. The transcript has a single exon. NCBI's taxonomy places the organism in Eukaryota, Metazoa, Chordata, Mammalia, Rodentia, Cricetidae.
AAAAACAAUUGUCAGGGAAGGUACCAAGAUCAUGAAGAAGAUUGCAUUUCAGAUGGUAUCCAUUGCAUUUUGGGUGUAUUGACCCAUGCAAAUUCCCAAAAUUGGGGAAACUUGGUUGUGUAAUUUGUGAAUGAAGAAAUUGUAUAUACACACCCCCACU